GUCAUCACUUCAUUUUUUUGCGCCUGCGCAUAAAUCUGAGAAACGUGAGUUUGUCAUCAUUUUUUAUCUAGACAUAGGAUAGGUUGUGUGAAAAUAUUACUGAUGUUUAACGUUAAAAAUGGACCAAAAGAUUAAUGCUAAACAACAUUUGACAUGUUUGAACGAACAUAAAUAGAUUAUUUACUAGGUUUUUUAGCUUUUCGGCGUGAUUUUACCAGCCCCCCAACCACGUUUUGUGGGAGCAUAAUGAACGCUAAGUACUUGGUGUUAUUUGGACAUAAAUUAUGAACUUUGUCAAAAGAAACCACAUUUGUUCCGGACCUGGAAUGCCUUCCGGACCUGGGAUCCUGCCUUCUGAUGGAGAUAAUCAAAGGUGGACUCCAAUCAAGUUAUAGAAACAUCAAGGAUGAUCAAUGGAAACUGGAUGCACCCGAGUUCAAUUUCAAGUCUCAUAACAAAAGAUCUGAAUAGUUAUGUAAAUAAGGUAUUUCUGUCUUUUGUGUUUUAUAAACAUUUUCUUCAAAGCUGUUUUUGCUUUGUCAUUAUGGAGUAUUGUAUGUAGAUUGUUGAGGAUGUUUUUUUAUAUCCAUUUUAGAAUAAGGCUGUAAAGUAACAAAAUGUGAAAAAAGUUAAGGGGUUUGAAUACUUUCCGAAGGCACUGUAUAUAAUUAUUUCCUUUUUUUCCGCACACAAAUAAUAUGAGUAAUAAUAUAGGCACCUUCUAUGAAGGAUUGUUAACUUUAACAAGUACCGGCAGUAGAAAAUAAACAUUUAGGUAAGCAGAUAUUAUUUAUUUUAUAUUACAUCAUUACCUCAUACAGUAGCAACGACUGUGGGAUGCAAAAGCCACACGCCACACGCCUCACCCACAUAAACACAUCUACACCGCUCCCAUUCCACCCAUACACACACGCAUACACAAACACACACACAUCCAAAAGCAUCCGACCACAAGCUCAGUUGUUCAUCAGUUGUUCCAUUCCAGCUCAAGAGUAGACUAGCUGUGUGAAUGCAUAUACGAUUGCAGCUGUUCAACAGGAGCGCCAAAUUUAGCAGGAAUGAGAAGAUUUGAUUACCCACUGUCUAGUGCUGGCUGACGGAGCUC
Molecule: long non-coding RNA, 1105 nt
Filed under: Salmo salar (Atlantic salmon)
Lineage: Eukaryota; Metazoa; Chordata; Actinopteri; Salmoniformes; Salmonidae
Description: lncRNA (ENSSSAG00000114195.1)
Source: RNAcentral